Molecule: long non-coding RNA, 1626 nt
Organism: Coturnix japonica (Japanese quail)
Lineage: Eukaryota; Metazoa; Chordata; Aves; Galliformes; Phasianidae
Source: RefSeq, a predicted model, not a curated record
UGGAGACCUGGUCACAAGGGAUAUGGAGAAAGCUGAGGUGCUCAAUGACUUCUUUUGCUCAGCCUUCUCUGGCAAGGGCUCUAGCUACACUGCCAAAUUUGCAGAAAACAGUGGUAAGGAAUUGGAUAAACUUGGUCUGCAUGGUGUAAGUAAAGAGAAAGUUUGAGACCAUCUGAAGAAUCUGAAGGUGCACAAGUCCAUGAGACAUGACAAGAUCUACUCAUGGCUACAUGAGCCAGCAAUGUGUUCUUGUAGCCCAGAAGGCCAGAUGUAUCCUGGGCUGCAUCAAGAGAGGUGUGACCAGCAGAUUGAGGGAGGUGAUUCCACCCCUUUACUCUACCCUCAGUACAUUCCCCAUCUGGAAUGCUGUGUCCAGUUCUGAAGCCCACAACACCAGAAGGACACAGAGUUGUUGGAGCAGGUCCAGAGGAGAGCCACAGUGAUGAUCAGAAGGCUGGAGCACCUCCCCUACAAGGACAGGAAGAGACACCUGGGGUCUUUCAGCCUAGAAAAGAGAAGGCUCUCGGAAGAUCUUACAGCAACCUUCCAGUACCUGAAGGGAGCCUACAGGAAAGCUGGGGAGAAACUUUUUUUACAGAUUGCAUCUCCCUCAUAUAGAAAGGCACAGAAAAGCAUUCAUGUGAAUUCACUGCCAGCUGCAUCCUCGGCCACUUCAACUUUGAGACCGUUCAUGAGCAACAGAAAAAUCCACAGUUCUGAAAGAUACCCUAUUAGUGAACUCAGUCUGAAGCCACAUGCAUCAUGGCUCCUUCUUGAUUUAGAAUGCAUUCUGCAUUCAUAAGCAAGUUCUUGCCUUUUGCAAUUUGGAAGUUUGCUUAAAAUUCAUAUUGAUCAUCUUUACUGCUUCAACUGCAUUUAAAUAAUUUAGAUAGUCAACAAAAUGUCUACAAUUUGUAAACAGAUUAAGUAUGUAUCUGUAUGUUUUAUUUAUUCUACUCUCCAUAAUAAUAGUUUGUUGAGUCAACUCAAGUAUUGUCUUAAAUUGGAAUCUGCAUGCUUAUCUUCAUCAGGUAAUCAGAAGAGCCCUACCAUUAAUCAGAAAGAUUUCAGAGCCACAAUUCUGAUUUACCGUGCUCUGUCAGAAGCUGCUGUCAUCUCCUGUGCAGUCCAAAGACUGAUAGAAAUAACAUCAGGGUCAUUUCCCAAUGAUUCUUUCUGAUUUCUUUCACCUCAGCUGCAUGUCCGACUUUUCUUUCCAAGGCUUUGAUCUAGAAAUAGGAAACUGUAUAGGAACUGAGCCUUUCUUACUGUUACUGAUAUCUUGCCUUCAAGUUACUUUUCUUUUUACUGAGCUCUCUCCUCUAGCAAGGUGGAACUGAGAAUCUCCCUGAAUGACGUAGUGAAAAUGGAGCGACUGCACUGUGAGAAAAGGUUGCAUGUACACAAGUGUGUCCCCAGUUGGCCAGAUUUCUUCUGAUUUUCCUCUUGGUGAUGGUGGGUACACAUAUGGCAUUAUAGGUUUUUUUUAGAAAAUAUCAAGAAACCAAGGAAGCAAGAACACUCUGUGGAAGAAAAUGCUUAUAUGAAACAGUGUUAUUUGUUGCUCUUUGUAUCUGCUGCAGUUUGGAUGGAAAUAAAUAAGAGAAAUAACUUUGGAGCAACCUA